GACGAAGGUGGCUAGCGUUGCUCGGAUUUACUGGGCAUAAAGCGCGCGUAGGUGGUCGUGUAAGCGGGGGAUGAAAGCCCAAGGCUCAACCUUGGAAUUGCCUUUGAUACUGAGGGCCUUGAGACCGGAAGAGGUCGGCGGAACUGCGAGUGUAGAGGUGAAAUUCGUAGAUAUGACAUAGAACACCAAUUGCGAAGGCAGCUUACUACACAAAUAUUGACGCUGAGGCACGAAAGCGUGGGGAUCAAACAGG
This 253-nucleotide ribosomal RNA is filed under the name uncultured bacterium. Its description in RNAcentral is "partial 16S ribosomal RNA". It matches the Rfam family "Bacterial small subunit ribosomal RNA", at positions 524 to 776 of the family's 1533-position model. The record is from RNAcentral.